GACGAACGCUGGCGGCGUGCUUAACACAUGCAAGUCGAGCGACGCGCCUUCGGGUGACGGAGCGGCGAACGGGUGAGUAACACGUGGGCAACCUGCCCUCAGCUCUGGGACAACUCCGGGAAACCGGGGCUAAUACCGGAUACGACCAUUGCCGGCAUCGGGAGUGGUGGAAAGUUUUUCGGCUGAGGAUGGGCCCGCGGCCUAUCAGCUUGUUGGUGGGGUGAAGGCCUACCAAGGCGACGACGGGUAGCCGGCCUGAGAGGCGAUCGGCCACACUGGGACUGAGACACGGCCCAGACUCCUACGGGAGGCAGCAGUGGGAAUAUUGCGCAAUGGGCGAAAGCCUGACGCAGCGACGCCGCGUGGGGAUGAAGGCCUU
RNAcentral lists this ribosomal RNA (379 nucleotides) under uncultured bacterium. RNAcentral's name for it is "bacterial SSU rRNA". It matches the Rfam family "Bacterial small subunit ribosomal RNA", at positions 28 to 418 of the family's 1533-position model. The record is from RNAcentral.